RNAcentral lists this long non-coding RNA (853 nucleotides) under Fukomys damarensis (Damara mole-rat). Its description in RNAcentral is "lncRNA (ENSFDAG00000029969.1)". Lineage: Eukaryota; Metazoa; Chordata; Mammalia; Rodentia; Bathyergidae. The record is from RNAcentral.
UGGGUUCUUUUCACUUUCGUGAUCACCUUUUAGCAAGUAGGCAGAUUUGAGUUCUUUUAAUUAUCACGACCAGAGUCAGUCGAUGAGAAUGGGCGUGCCAAGUGGUAAGGACUCACGAUCCACCGCGCUCCCCAGCCAACGCUUUUGCUUCAUGUAGGAGCCUCCUGGGAGCAUCUGCUCUGUGCCCACAGAACUCACAGCUUCUGGGGAAACCAAGGCCAACACGGAAGAGCUCCUGCUGUACUCUCCAAAGGAGACAAAUGUUUGGAAAAAUCUUUUCAGUGCUUUUGGAGAUGGCAUUAGGGGCACAUUUUGUGAUGGGAUGGCAGCCUUGUGUUAUUGUCCAUUCAAAAAGCGGCAGAUGGUACAAAGAGAGGAAGAGCCUCUGUCACUUAGAGCUCCUGGACCAGGGCUUCUUUCAUGGUGCCCCGCUGGCAUCUCGAGGUGGAGUGCAGUUGAUCUGGACAUGGCAUGGUGUUGUCACGGUGGCUGUCCCUCUGCGUCCCCAAGGAGCCAUCCCUCUCACCCCCAGCCCCAGCUUGUUGCUAGGAACACCGUGUGCUUGGGUUACACACUUUGCAGUGAAAACAAAGGCAAACCGAACGUGGAACCACCAUGUGGUCUAGGCUGCAACCUGGAAGUAACCACUCACCAGUGGGAGAGUGGGAGACCAUGUCCAGCCACAGCUACUGCCAGGAUGGACUGUCACAGACAUCCUUCUCUCCAGUCCUCUGGGGCUGGAGUUGGUGGCAGAUUGAACCCCAACUGCCAACAUAAACCAGAGUGGCUCCUUCUCCAGGAACACUACAACACAGAGGUCUGGGUGCCCCCUGACUUCAAAGGACCCUCCCAC